This 341-nucleotide long non-coding RNA is filed under the name Mytilus galloprovincialis (Mediterranean mussel). Lineage: Eukaryota; Metazoa; Mollusca; Bivalvia; Mytilida; Mytilidae. The record is from RNAcentral.
AAACGUUAAACAAUAUCCUGAAAUUCAUUACAUGACGUCACAAAGUAUAUUGGUUUUUAGAUAUUCUAAAAAUAACCGUGCAAUAUGCUUUUUGCAGGUCAAUAUGCGUUUUGCUAUCCGCCGUUUUCUCUCUACCUUCGAAAAUAUAGUUUAACAUGUGACUAUCCCUAAACGAAUCAAAUUUGUUAAAAUAUACGAAUUAAUAAUAUACUGUGAUAUAAUUGUUUCUUAAGGCAUUAUUUUUUAUUUAGUAUUGUCUUCCAUUACCAAAAUUACAAAGAUGUCCUUUAUUAUAAACAAUGUUUUGUUGUGUUGGAGUAGAAGAGAAUGUAGAAAACAUU